The sequence is a regulatory RNA element, 19 nucleotides long. It matches the Rfam family "Human immunodeficiency virus type 1 major splice donor". The record is from Rfam.
GGCGAACGGUGAGUACGCC